CUCUUUACUCUAUCCUAAUCUUGGGAGUUGCCACACUCGUUGUAUGCAAAAAAAGGGAAGAAAAAAAACUGAACAGACGAGUGGGGGAAUAAUGAGAAACUUUAAAGCUCACGAUUCCUCCCGAAAAUGGAAAAAGAAAAGCCCGCGACACUAACAUCCACACCCAUUUAAAAAUCACAACCAUGGACGAAACAGUAGCAAACUUGCAACUUUGUUGCCAAAACAAAACUCGAAUGUCUAAAAUAAAAGCAAAAACAGGUUUUGGAAAGAACAAACAUCAGACGUCGGUUUUAUAUAUGACAAUAAAAAAAAGAAAGUUGAGACUUACCUGCAGAUAUUUCUUGCUUUAAAUGUAACAAAUGAAGUGCAAACUGCUGAAAAGAAAAAUUAUGUUUUCUUGCCUCUAGUAAACGAAGAAAGACCUCCUUUUUUUGCUGUUAGGAGCUCUUUCCACCCCUUUCAGAGUUUUAUGACGUCCUAUCCGGCAAGGUAAGAUAGGCUGAAGGUAAUCUGCUCUCUCUUCCUCCUUGCUUUCUCUGCUUUCCUAUUCUCGGUCUUCUCCUUGUUCCCUAUGUUUUCUUUUUUUCUCCAUCGUUUGUUUUUUGGUCUCUCUCCCCCUCUUUUUUUUUCUCCCCUUUUUCCCUUCUGUCUUUUCCUUUUCUUUCUCUGCUUACCUGUUUCCUCUCCCUCGCCCCACUUUUCUCCUUUUCUUUCUCCUCUCUCUGUUUCAGUCUCCUCUGUCACUCCCGUUUUUCUUUCUCAUCUUUUCUCUCUCUCAUUCUCUCCUUUUUUCCUCUCUUUUUCUCGUUUCUCCCCCCUCUUUAGGUCAACAGAGGAGGCAUAUAUAUAGCAUAUACAUAACUCUAUUUAGGAAAGACUCAUUACACUAAUCUAGGAUAUAAUCUCGGCUGAUUUACAAUCAAAUAAAGCAAAUUAGAAAACUAAAAUAUUCUGUAAUUUGUAUUCCAUGAUUCCAGCAAUUAUUCUUCAUGUUAACACUCUCAUCCAGCCGUCUGUGUUAGGGAUAGAAUCCCAGCCAUUAAAUGAUGGUGAAGCUCAUCUUCGUGUCUUCUUUCAAGCUGGCGCAGUGAUGUUCAAAGUUGUUUUCUUUGGACUGAAGCAGAAAAACUGUGAUUUGCAGCCUAAAAAUCGGGCGUGAAAAGCGGUGAUACUGACCCAAAGACUCAAAGAUGAGAGAAUAAUGAGAAACUAACGGGAACGGUUGUGCUGCGAAGUUGCAAACGAUGGCCUUUUUUUUAAGUGGGAUAUAUGAAGGUAAGGAAACGGUGCUGUUGGUUUU
Molecule: long non-coding RNA, 1300 nt
Filed under: Populus trichocarpa (black cottonwood)
Lineage: Eukaryota; Viridiplantae; Streptophyta; Magnoliopsida; Malpighiales; Salicaceae
Description: long non-coding RNA (PTRI_LNC001200)
Source: RNAcentral